Molecule: unclassified non-coding RNA, 104 nt
Organism: Otolemur garnettii (small-eared galago)
Lineage: Eukaryota; Metazoa; Chordata; Mammalia; Primates; Galagidae
Rfam family: Y RNA
About the family: Y RNAs are components of the Ro ribonucleoprotein particle (Ro RNP), in association with Ro60 and La proteins. The Y RNAs and Ro60 and La proteins are well conserved, but the function of the Ro RNP is not known.
Source: Ensembl
CAUGUGUUUAAAAUCAGGUUGUGUGUUGUUCACAGUCAGUUACAGAUUGAUCUCCUUGUUCUACUCUUUCCCCCUUUCUCACUACUGCACUUGACUAGUCUUUA